Molecule: ribosomal RNA, 455 nt
Filed under: bacterium 32RD
Lineage: Bacteria
Description: bacterial SSU rRNA
Rfam family: Bacterial small subunit ribosomal RNA
Source: RNAcentral
AGCUUGCUGUUGGUGGAUGAGUGGCGAACGGGUGAGUAACACGUGAGUAACCUGCCCCUGAUUUCGGGAUAAGCCUGGGAAACUGGGUCUAAUACCGGAUACGACCACCUGACGCAUGUUGGGUGGUGGAAAGUUUUUCGAUCGGGGAUGGGCUCGCGGCCUAUCAGCUUGUUGGUGGGGUAAUGGCCUACCAAGGCGACGACGGGUAGCCGGCCUGAGAGGGCGACCGGCCACACUGGGACUGAGACACGGCCCAGACUCCUACGGGAGGCAGCAGUGGGGAAUAUUGCACAAUGGGGGAAACCCUGAUGCAGCGACGCAGCGUGCGGGAUGACGGCCUUCGGGUUGUAAACCGCUUUCAGCAGGGAAGAAGCGAAAGUGACGGUACCUGCAGAAGAAGUACCGGCUAACUACGUGCCAGCAGCCGCGGUAAUACGUAGGGUACGAGCGUUGUC